AUUUAAGUAGCUUAAAAAGAGUUUAAUAUUGAAGAUAUUAAGGUAAUAAUUUUUAUUCUUAAAUA
Molecule: transfer RNA, 65 nt
Filed under: Staphylinidae sp. 2 EF-2015
Lineage: Eukaryota; Metazoa; Arthropoda; Insecta; Coleoptera; Staphylinidae
Description: tRNA-Phe
Source: RNAcentral